Molecule: ribosomal RNA, 279 nt
Filed under: uncultured bacterium
Lineage: Bacteria
Description: partial 16S ribosomal RNA
Rfam family: Bacterial small subunit ribosomal RNA
Source: RNAcentral
UGCCAGCCGCCGCGGUAAGACGGAGGCCCCAAGCGUUGUUCGGAUUUACUGGGCGUAAAGAGUACGUAGGCGGUUAGGUAAGUCAGAUGUGAAAGCCCGGGGCUCAACCUCGGAACUGCAUCCGAUACUGCCUGACUAGAGGAUUGGAGAGGAAGUUGGAAUUCACGGUGUAGCAGUGAAAUGCGUGGAUAUCGUGAGGAAGACCAAAGGCGAAGGCAGACUUCUGGACAAUUCCUGACGCUGAGGUACGAAGGCCAGGGUAGCGAAAAGGAUUAGAUA